Non-coding RNA from Schistosoma margrebowiei, 45 nucleotides. The record is from Rfam. NCBI's taxonomy places the organism in Eukaryota, Metazoa, Platyhelminthes, Trematoda, Strigeidida, Schistosomatidae.
AUCCAGUUGACGAGUCCCAAAUAGGACGAAAAGCGCGUUCUGGAU